This 253-nucleotide ribosomal RNA is filed under the name uncultured bacterium. Its description in RNAcentral is "partial 16S ribosomal RNA". It matches the Rfam family "Bacterial small subunit ribosomal RNA", at positions 524 to 776 of the family's 1533-position model. The record is from RNAcentral.
UACGUAGGGGGCAAGCGUUGUCCGGAUUUAUUGGGCGUAAAGAGCGUGUAGGCGGUCAGGUAGGUCCGUUGUGAAAACUCGAGGCUCAACCUCGAGACGCCGAUGGAAACCAUCUGACUAGAGUCCGGAAGAGGAGAGUGGAAUUCCUGGUGUAGCGGUGAAAUGCGCAGAUAUCAGGAGGAACACCGGUGGCGAAGGCGGAUCUCUGGGCCAUUACUGACGCUGAGGAGCGAAAGCGUGGGGAGCGAACAGG